RNAcentral lists this ribosomal RNA (468 nucleotides) under uncultured bacterium. RNAcentral describes it as "partial 16S ribosomal RNA". It matches the Rfam family "Bacterial small subunit ribosomal RNA", at positions 28 to 507 of the family's 1533-position model. The record is from RNAcentral.
GACGAACGCUGGCGGCGUGCUUAACACAUGCAAGUCGAACGGAAAGGCCCUGCUUUUGUGGGGUGCUCGAGUGGCGAACGGGUGAGUAACACGUGAGUAGCCUGCCCUUGACUUUGGGAUAACUUCAGGAAACUGGGGCUAAUACCGGAUAGGAGCUCCUGCUGCAUGGUGGGGGUUGGAAAGUUUCGGCGGUUGGGGAUGGACUCGCGGCUUAUCAGCUUGUUGGUGGGGUAGCGGCUUACCAAGGCUUUGACGGGUAGCCGGCCUGAGAGGGUGACCGGCCACAUUGGGACUGAGAUACGGCCCAGACUCCUACGGGAGGCAGCAGUGGGGAAUAUUGCACAAUGGGCGGAAGCCUGAUGCAGCAACGCCGCGUGCGGGAUGACGGCCUUCGGGUUGUAAACCGCUUUCGCCUGUGACGAAGCGUGAGUGACGGUAAUGGGUAAAGAAGCACCGGCUAACUACGUG